UACGAAGGGGGCUAGCGUUGUUCGGAAUUACUGGGCGUAAAGCACACGUAGGCGGACAUUUAAGUCAGGGGUGAAAUCCCAGAGCUCAACUCUGGAACUGCCUUUGAUACUGGGUGUCUUGAGUAUGGAAGAGGUGAGUGGAAUUCCGAGUGUAGAGGUGAAAUUCGUAGAUAUUCGGAGGAACACCAGUGGCGAAGGCGGCUCACUGGUCCAUUACUGACGCUGAGGUGCGAAAGCGUGGGGAGCAAACAGG
This 253-nucleotide ribosomal RNA is filed under the name uncultured bacterium. RNAcentral describes it as "partial 16S ribosomal RNA". It matches the Rfam family "Bacterial small subunit ribosomal RNA", at positions 524 to 776 of the family's 1533-position model. The record is from RNAcentral.